UUAGUGGCGGACGGGUGAGUAACGCGUGGAAAACCUGCCGUAUACUGGGGGAUAACACUUAGAAAUAGGUGCUAAUACCGCAUAAGCGCACAGCUUCGCAUGAAGCGGUGUGAAAAACUCCGGUGGUAUACGAUGGUUCCGCGUCUGAUUAGCUAGUUGGUGGGGUAAUGGCCUACCAAGGCAACGAUCAGUAGCCGGCCUGAGAGGGUGAACGGCCACAUUGGGACUGAGACACGGCCCAAACUCCUACGGAAGGCAGCAG
Molecule: ribosomal RNA, 262 nt
Filed under: uncultured bacterium
Lineage: Bacteria
Description: partial 16S ribosomal RNA
Rfam family: Bacterial small subunit ribosomal RNA
Source: RNAcentral